RNAcentral lists this ribosomal RNA (408 nucleotides) under uncultured bacterium. RNAcentral's name for it is "partial 16S ribosomal RNA". It matches the Rfam family "Bacterial small subunit ribosomal RNA", at positions 28 to 526 of the family's 1533-position model. The record is from RNAcentral.
GACGAACGCUGGCGGCGUGCUUAACACAUGCAAGUCGCACGGAGUGGCUACCGGGUGAGUAACACGUGGGUGACCUUCCCUGCACUUCGGGAUAAGCCUGGGAAACUGGGUCUAAUACCGGAUAGUGUGGGAUGGGGCCGCGGCCUAUCAGCUUGUUGGUGGGGUAAUGGCCUACCAAGGCGGCGACGGGUAGCCGGCCUGAGAGGGGGGACGGCCACAUUGGGACUGAGACACGGGCCAGACUCCUACGGGAGGCAGCAGUGGGGAGUAUUGCACAAGGGGCGGAAGCCUGAUGCAGCGACGCCGCGGGGGGGAUGACGGCCUUCGGGUUGUAAACUCAUUUAACCAUCGACGCGGUAGAUGGAGAAGAAGCACCGGCUAACUACGUGCCAGCAGCCGCGGUAAUUC